Fukomys damarensis (Damara mole-rat) is the source of this 638-nucleotide long non-coding RNA. RefSeq lists it as uncharacterized. Lineage: Eukaryota; Metazoa; Chordata; Mammalia; Rodentia; Bathyergidae. The record is from RefSeq and is a predicted model, not a curated record. The transcript has 3 exons.
GACAUCAGAUCCCCCUCUGGAUGGAAAGAGCAGUGUACAUAUAUAAGGGAAAGAAAUGUAGGUAAAGGUAUUUGCUGAUGAACCACUAUACUUCACCCCCUUACUACAAAUACCUCAGACAUAACCUUGGCAUCUACCAGUUCCCCAGAGUUAGCAUCAAGCUGAAGACCCAAGUCUAAAGUUUCAUCAUCCAGUGAGGUAUGGAUGCAAAUGAAGACUGUGAGGCACAAUUCCUUGAAGAACAAGGUUUGGGGUUUUGAGAAGGAAGACCACAAAAGUGAAGUAUCUUUUCCAACACGGGGUGAAGGAUCCUGCUAUGGACAUAAUUUAUCACUGAUGCUGUCAGCUUGGCUCAGUCCACUAAAGCAAUAUUGCUCUUCUCCUUCUUUUCAUACUGAAGUCUUAAGGUACGGGAAGUUAUGCCUCAACUCGGUGAUGGCGAAGGCAGAGCAGUUUUGUCUUUUCAGAACAAGACAUAAAUGGAAGCACACAGCAUACAGUUCUAUCAAGCUGGCUUCUUUCAUUUUCAGCAAUCUGCCCUCAAGUCGCCUCCAUGUCGUCAAGGAGAUGGGUGGUCCAUUCCUCCUGAUUGCUAAACGCCUCUCCAGUGUGUGGAGCUUCCAAUUGAUUCAUUCGUU